AUUCCUACGGGAGGCAGCAGUGAGGAAUAUUGGUCAAUGGCCGGAAGGCUGAACCAGCCAAGCCGCGUGAGGGAGGAAGGCGCAGAGCGUCGCAGACCUCUUUUGCCGGGGGACAAAAGGCCGGACUCGUCCGGUCCUGAGGGUACCCGGAGAAAAAGCAUCGGCUAACUCCGUGCCAGCAGCCGCGGUAAUACGUAUGGUGCAAGCGUUAUCCGGAUUUACUGGGUGUAAAGGGAGCGCAGGCGGUGCGGCAAGUCUGAUGUGAAAGCCCGGGGCUCAACCCCGGGACUGCAUUGGAAACUACC
RNAcentral lists this ribosomal RNA (305 nucleotides) under uncultured bacterium. RNAcentral describes it as "bacterial SSU rRNA". It matches the Rfam family "Bacterial small subunit ribosomal RNA", at positions 335 to 637 of the family's 1533-position model. The record is from RNAcentral.